GCCAAUGAGGCUGCAGCAGAACACUGCCAGCGGCCUGACGUGGGACAACAAAAGCCAAAGCACCAUGGGUACACGGACGGAGGCUGGCUAACACCCCACGCUACAUUUGAAGGCUGUCGGCACUAAAUUGGUAUCAGGGACAAAGGGGAGAAUUUCUCAAAGGACAACACAUCUACAUCGGAUUAAUUUGUCAAGAAAAGCAUCAAGAUUCUGAAGGAACAGCCAAACUACAGGCCUCAGUUCAAUGAAAAUGUUGUGCCUGGCAGUUGUUGGAACAUGCCCAGUGGGGUUGUGGCAGGGAGGAGGAUUAGACUGUAAGAUGUUUGAAAUAAAGCCUUUCUGAAGCAACAGGUAUGUUUAGUUACUGUGCAGAUCUAAAUGCAUGUCUAUCACAAAAUUCUCUCUUUUAAUCAUCAACAUUUCGCUCAGUGGCUAUGACCACUGACUGUAUAUGAGAACUGGAUGAGUGGUGAGAGUGAUGUCACCCAUAGAAAAUGGCUUACUUCCAGCUCCAAAAAAAUGAAGUCAAUUCAGCGCCAUUUUUCACAAAGCGGACAGCGCCAUGUUGGAGCCAGACGACGUCAGUAAGCAGUAAUGGGUCUGAGUCGAGCUGAUUUAACAUUUCUAUACGUUCAAAAGU
This is a long non-coding RNA of Oryzias melastigma (Indian medaka), 640 nucleotides long. RefSeq lists it as uncharacterized. The transcript has 3 exons. Lineage: Eukaryota; Metazoa; Chordata; Actinopteri; Beloniformes; Adrianichthyidae. The record is from RefSeq and is a predicted model, not a curated record.